GGACGCAUAGCUCAGUUGGUAGAGCAGCUGACUCUUAAUCAGCGGGUCCUAGGUUCGAAUCCUAGUGGGCGCACCA
RNAcentral lists this transfer RNA (76 nucleotides) under Actinomycetota bacterium. Its description in RNAcentral is "tRNA-Lys". It matches the Rfam family "tRNA". Rfam says of the family: Transfer RNA (tRNA) molecules are approximately 80 nucleotides in length. The record is from RNAcentral. Lineage: Bacteria; Bacillati; Actinomycetota.